AACGAACGCUGGCGGCAUGCCUAACACAUGCAAGUCGAACGAAUGGUUUCGGCCAUUAGUGGCGCACGGGUGAGUAACGCGUGGGAAUCUGCCCAGCAGUGGGGGAUAACCUCUGGAAACGGAGGCUAAUACCGCAUACGCCCCUCGGGGAAAGGCUUGCUGCUGCUGGAGGAGCCCGCGUCGGAUUAGGUAGUUGGUGGGGUAACGGCCUACCAAGCCUGUGAUCCGUAGCUGGUCUGAGAGGAUGAUCAGCCACACUGGGACUGAGACACGGCCCAGACUCCUACGGGAGGCAGCAGUGGGGAAUAUUGGACAAUGGGCGCAAGCCUGAUCCAGCAAUGCCGCGUGAGUGAUGAAGGCCUGGUUGUAAAGCUCUUUCGCCCACGACGAUGAUGACGGUAGUGGGAGAAGAAG
Molecule: ribosomal RNA, 414 nt
Filed under: uncultured bacterium
Lineage: Bacteria
Description: bacterial SSU rRNA
Rfam family: Bacterial small subunit ribosomal RNA
Source: RNAcentral